GCAAACUUGGUCAUGGCUCCAUAAACCCUAAUCAGGUCAAACUCCUAUUAUGUGGCCUCCUAACCCUAAUUUCAGUUGGCACAUCAUCAUUCAUGAUGCUUGGUCUCCUUGCUUGGUUAAAUUGCAUUCAACAACUUCUUGUUCCUGGUUCAUUCCUGUUGAGUUCUUGGUUGUGUUUCUAUUCAAUAUGCUCAUGACCAUUGAUUCUAGCAUUGGUUCUUG
This 222-nucleotide long non-coding RNA is filed under the name Lathyrus oleraceus (garden pea). Its description in RNAcentral is "Pisum sativum (pea) long non-coding RNA (PSAT_LNC020242)". Lineage: Eukaryota; Viridiplantae; Streptophyta; Magnoliopsida; Fabales; Fabaceae. The record is from RNAcentral.